Molecule: transfer RNA, 72 nt
Filed under: Capra hircus (goat)
Lineage: Eukaryota; Metazoa; Chordata; Mammalia; Artiodactyla; Bovidae
Also listed under: 1 other name
Rfam family: tRNA
About the family: Transfer RNA (tRNA) molecules are approximately 80 nucleotides in length.
Source: Rfam by way of RNAcentral
UCCCUGGUGGCUUAGAUGGUAAAGAAUCUGCCUGCAAUGCAAGAGACCCAGGUUUGAUCCCUGGGUUGGGAG